CAGCAGCCACGGGAAUACGUAGGGUGCGAGCGUUAAUCGGAAUUACUGGGUGUAAGGCGUGCGCAGGCGGUUGUGUAAGACAGGUGUGAAAUCCCCGGGCUUAACCUGGGAACUGCAUUUGUGACUGGCGAGCUAGAGUAUGGCAGAGGGGGGUAGAAUUCCAUGUGUAGCAGUGAAAUGCGUAGAGAUGUGGAGGAAUACCGAUGGCGAAGGCAGCCCCCUGGGCCAAUACUGACGCUCAUGCACGAAAGCGUGGGGAGCAAACAGGAUUAGAUACCCGCGUAGUCCCUGUCUCUUAUAC
RNAcentral lists this ribosomal RNA (301 nucleotides) under uncultured bacterium. RNAcentral describes it as "partial 16S ribosomal RNA". It matches the Rfam family "Bacterial small subunit ribosomal RNA", at positions 509 to 807 of the family's 1533-position model. The record is from RNAcentral.